This is a long non-coding RNA of Dromaius novaehollandiae (emu), 1425 nucleotides long. RefSeq lists it as uncharacterized. The record is from RefSeq and is a predicted model, not a curated record. The transcript is spliced from 5 exons. Lineage: Eukaryota; Metazoa; Chordata; Aves; Casuariiformes; Dromaiidae.
CCUUAACAAAUACCCUCUUCUGCAUCUGACUCAAAGGCUGAAGAGGGUAUCAUCCUUACAAGCUUGGCACUGCCUGCGAACUGCAGAUUCCUGUGCUUGGGCUCUGUCGCUCUGUACAGCAUCAGACAGCUGACCUCGGACUACCUUCAUCAGCUGUUCAAAUGGACUUUGUUCAAGCUGUCCUCAGGGAGUGCUCAGACGAUCCUUUCUGCAGGCAAAACUUGCUGCACGCUCACUUCCAGCACCAGCGUGUUCACAAACAACUGAGGAUCACGGAACUUGACUACAGCAUCCUCAGGAACAGCUCCGUAUGUUGUUGCCUCAAGCGAAAAGAUUAUGAAGACGUGGACAAAAAAACACUGGAGACUCUGAGCACCCGCUGAUGAAAUGGGAGAGGGAAAUGCAAAGGAAAUGAUCCGGGCGGCGUUGAUGAGUGAAGGAAGAAAUUAAAUAAAGACAGUCCGAGGUUUCAGUUUAUGAUGCCUCCAUCUGAGGAACUUAUCUACAGGAUCAGGGGAGCUGGUAUGGGAAGGACUCAGCACCUGGGCACUCCGGGUAGAGCAUCCAAACAGACCUGGAAGCAGCAGCCGGGGCCAGACCUUCCUUUUCCCUCUUCUUCUGCUUCAUCCGCCUGUUCUGGAACCAGAUCUUCACCUGGGUUUCGUUGAGCUCCAGGGUAGCAGCGAUCUCCACCCUUCGGGCCCGGAGUCCAGCUGAUGAGUAGGUGGAAAGACACUGACUUCAGCCGGCCACUCCGCUGCUCAUAGAAUGGAAACAUAGGUAGGCAACAUUUAUUUACUUGUUAGCAGAGGGGAGACAAGAGCACCCAACAAUAUGACGCCCACAGUCAUUUGUUACUUGUCAGAAUAUUUACUGGUUACUCAGCCUUUAAGAAGAACCAGGAAGGUUUCUUUUUUCAGGCCAAAAGUUCACUUUGAAAGGCAUAAACACGUUCUCUAGUUCAGGGUUUGGCUGAUGCAACACGUUGGGGUAACAUUUGUUAAGAAGCUGCAAACCAGGCAGCCAUGGCAUCAACCCUCCUCCCGCCUUUAAAUCCCCGAGAGAAAAAGUGAGUUUUAGCCAGCUACAUUUCUCGUCCUUCAAUAAAAAGAAUAAGGAGAAAACUAUUGCCAGUGCUGCAUGGCUGUUUAUUCAUUUAUUCUGUGGACUCUGCUGAUGCUGAGAUAUUCAAGAAGCAAAUAUUUUAGGUUACAAAUGCUCUCUGAAACUCACUACAACCUUUUUUUGCAUAAAACAACGAAAGUGAUUAUAAAGAUGCAAGGCAACUAUCAUGUCAUUCUCCUUGUAGGAGAAAUCGGUUUCUAAUUUGAUUCCAGGAGUGCUUUUUAUAUUACAUUGCGUUCAUGUUUAAAUUGAAUGUAUUGUAUUUAAACGAUGCUUACAAUAGAUGAUUUAUGGAUUUAA